This 450-nucleotide ribosomal RNA is filed under the name uncultured bacterium. RNAcentral describes it as "partial 16S ribosomal RNA". It matches the Rfam family "Bacterial small subunit ribosomal RNA", at positions 354 to 796 of the family's 1533-position model. The record is from RNAcentral.
GUGGGGAAUUUUGGACAAUGGGGGCAACCCUGAUCCAGCAAUGCCGCGUGCAGGAAGAAGGCCUUCGGGUUGUAAACUGCUUUUGUACGGAACGAAACGGUCCUGGUUAAUACCUGGGGCUAAUGACGGUACCGUAAGAAUAAGCACCGGCUAACUACGUGCCAGCAGCCGCGGUAAUACGUAGGGUGCAAGCGUUAAUCGGAAUUACUGGGCGUAAAGCGUGCGCAGGCGGUUUUGUAAGACAGGCGUGAAAUCCCGGGGCUCAACCUGGGAAUGGCGCUUGUGACUGCAAGGCUGGAGUGCGGCAGAGGGGGAUGGAAUUCCGCGUGUAGCAGUGAAAUGCGUAGAUAUGCGGAGGAACACCGAUGGCGAAGGCAAUCCCCUGGGCCUGCACUGACGCUCAUGCACGAAAGCGUGGGGAGCAAACAGGAUUAGAAACCCUGGUAGUCC